This 209-nucleotide ribosomal RNA is filed under the name uncultured bacterium. RNAcentral describes it as "partial 16S ribosomal RNA". It matches the Rfam family "Bacterial small subunit ribosomal RNA", at positions 568 to 774 of the family's 1533-position model. The record is from RNAcentral.
UGCGCAGGCGGUUCCAUAAGACAGAUGUGAAAUCCCCGGGCUCAACCUGGGAACUGCAUUUGUGACUGUGGAGCUAGAGUACGGUAGGAGGGGGAUGGAAUUCCGCGUGUAGCAGUGAAAUGCGUAGAUAUGCGGAGGAACACCAAUGGCGAAGGCAAUCCCCUGGACCUGUACUGACGCUCAUGCACGAAAGGCGUGGGGAGCAAACA